CAGUCGCCACGGGAAUACAGAGGGUGCGAGCGUUAAUCGGAUUUACUGGGCGUAAAGCGUGCGUACGCGGCUUCUUAAGUCGGAUGUGAAAUCCCUGAGCUUAACUUAGGAAUUGCAUUCGAUACUGGGAAGCUAGAGUAUUGGAGAGGAUGGUAGAAUUCCAGGUGUAGCGGUGAAAUGCGUAGAGAUCUGGAGGAAUACCGAUGGCGAAGGCAGCCAUCUGGCCUAAUACUGACGCUGAGGUACGAAAGCAUGGGGAGCAAACAGGAUUAGAUACCCCAGUAGUCCCUGUCUCUUAUAC
Molecule: ribosomal RNA, 301 nt
Filed under: uncultured bacterium
Lineage: Bacteria
Description: partial 16S ribosomal RNA
Rfam family: Bacterial small subunit ribosomal RNA
Source: RNAcentral